CGCGUAGGCGGCUUAACAAGUCACUUGUGAAAUCUCCGGGCUUAACUCGGAACGGCCAAGUGAAACUGCAGUGCUAGAGUGCAGAAGGGGCAAUCGGAAUUCUUGGUGUAGCGGUGAAAUGCGUAGAUAUCAAGAGGAACACCUGAGGUGAAGACGGGUUGCUAGGCUGACACUGACGCUGAGGCGCGAAAGCCAGGGAGCAAACG
This 206-nucleotide ribosomal RNA is filed under the name uncultured bacterium. Its description in RNAcentral is "partial 16S ribosomal RNA". It matches the Rfam family "Bacterial small subunit ribosomal RNA", at positions 568 to 774 of the family's 1533-position model. The record is from RNAcentral.